Molecule: ribosomal RNA, 246 nt
Filed under: uncultured bacterium
Lineage: Bacteria
Description: partial 16S ribosomal RNA
Rfam family: Bacterial small subunit ribosomal RNA
Source: RNAcentral
UACAGAGGGGGCAAGCGUUGUUCGGAAUUAUUGGGCGUAAAGGGCGCGUAGGCGGCCAUCCAAGUCGGGUGUGAAAUCCCUCGGCUCAACCGAGGAACUGCACUCGAUACUGGUUGGCUCGAGUCCGGGAGGGGAUGGUGGAAUUCCCAGUGUAGCGGUGAAAUGCGUAGAUAUCGGGAGGAGCACCCAUGGCGAAGGCAGCUUACUGGGCAUUUCCUGACGCUGAGGCGCGAAAGCGUGGGUAGC